Anguilla anguilla (European eel) is the source of this 711-nucleotide long non-coding RNA. RefSeq lists it as uncharacterized. The record is from RefSeq and is a predicted model, not a curated record. NCBI's taxonomy places the organism in Eukaryota, Metazoa, Chordata, Actinopteri, Anguilliformes, Anguillidae. The transcript is spliced from 3 exons.
CUGUCUCACUGCUUCCUUGGAGGCGUGCUAGCGCAGGAUGGUUUAUUCAUUAUAAGAAAAAUAGUGAUGAGUUUCUUCAUAGAAGUCCUCAUUCUUACAAACAGCGAAGAAUAACUUCAGGCCAAAUGCUGUAUGCAGUUUGGAGCCUACAAUUUUAUUGCAAGCAUUAUAUAUAGAGAUCGUCACGCUGCAUCACUUACACAGUUGUAUCAUAGUAUUUUGACUUCAUUUUUUCUCAUUUUGUCAAUUGCAACAUGAAUUUGGUCAGACGUCUGAGAUUGCUUUUUCCCUGUUAAGGCCAGCCCGGCACACUCGUGCAGAUUUUCCUGAUUCCUGUACAUUAGGGUCACGUGUCGCCGUUUUGAGCUCAUGAGUUCAUUCACAGAGCCCGGUAUCGAGAACGCAGAGAUAAAAGCACAGCUGUCGACACAAAGCCCUCUGGGAAGGGUGCGUCUGGUUGGUGUUGCUAUCCACAUGGGUUUUCAGCAAGAACUGCUUUCAUGGGCAAUGUCUCCCUAUAUGCUCCCAUUUCUACAGGCAAGGUUGGAGAUCUUCUCCAAGGUAAAUCUUUGGACUAAUCUCUUAAGUAGAUCUCAGAGCAUCCGAAAGCGUUUGGACAGAGGCUUCCUCAAGGGAUUUGAAUUGUACCCAGGUCAACAGGUGCAUGUCAGGAGGGAUUGCAUGCUGAUCGUUUAGCUAUUGUGCCUUACA